This 70-nucleotide transfer RNA is filed under the name Dipodomys ordii (Ord's kangaroo rat). It matches the Rfam family "tRNA". From Rfam's summary of the family: Transfer RNA (tRNA) molecules are approximately 80 nucleotides in length. The record is from Rfam by way of RNAcentral. Lineage: Eukaryota; Metazoa; Chordata; Mammalia; Rodentia; Heteromyidae.
GGGAAGGUGGCUCAGUGGUAGAGCACUUGCCUGGCAUGCCUGAGGCCCUGGGUUCGAUCCCUCAGCUCCA